UGGUGGUUUAAGUGAUCUUUAUAGAAGAUGUAAAGAUAUAGGAGGGAGGGAGGAGGAGAAAAGCAGAAUGAUGCGCUGCAGAGGAGGCUGUAGCGAUGAACUGCAGCGAUGAACUAUAGCGAGGAGGCUACAACAAUGAACUGCAGCGAGGAGGCUGCAAAGGAGGUUGCAGCGAUGCACUGCAGAGGAGGCAGAAGCGAUGGGCAAGGAAGCUGCAGCGAUGAGCGAGAAAUCUGCAGUGAUUAGAUGAAAGAGAAAAAAAAAAAUCUGCAGUGAUUAGAUGAAAAAUCUGCAGUUGUUACAACUACAAUUGGGAACUUGGAAAUGGUUCCG
This 333-nucleotide long non-coding RNA is filed under the name Musa acuminata (dwarf banana). Its description in RNAcentral is "long non-coding RNA (MACU_LNC011593)". The record is from RNAcentral. Lineage: Eukaryota; Viridiplantae; Streptophyta; Magnoliopsida; Zingiberales; Musaceae.